RNAcentral lists this ribosomal RNA (439 nucleotides) under uncultured bacterium. Its description in RNAcentral is "bacterial SSU rRNA". It matches the Rfam family "Bacterial small subunit ribosomal RNA", at positions 30 to 475 of the family's 1533-position model. The record is from RNAcentral.
AUUGAACGCUGGCGGCAUGCCUUAUACAUGCAAGUCGAACGGCAGCACGGGAGCAAUCCUGGUGGCGGGUGGCGAACGGGUGAGUAAUAUAUCGGAACGUGCCCAGUCGUGGGGAUAACGUAGCGAAAGCUACGCUAAUACCGCAUACGAUCUAUGGAUGAAAGCGGGGGAUCGCAAGACCUCGCGCGAUUGGAGCGGCCGAUAUCAGAUUAGGUAGUUGGUGAGGUAAAGGCUCACCAAGCCGACGAUCUGUAGCUGGUCUGAGAGGACGACCAGCCACACUGGGACUGAGACACGGCCCAGACUCCUACGGGAGGCAGCAGUGGGGAAUUUUGGACAAUGGACGCAAGUCUGAUCCAGCCAUUCCGCGUGCAGGAUGAAGGCCCUCGGGUUGUAAACUGCUUUUGUACGGACGAAAAGGUUUGUCUUAAUACGAUGG